RNAcentral lists this ribosomal RNA (516 nucleotides) under uncultured microorganism. RNAcentral's name for it is "bacterial SSU rRNA". It matches the Rfam family "Bacterial small subunit ribosomal RNA", at positions 9 to 508 of the family's 1533-position model. The record is from RNAcentral.
GAGUUUGAUCAUGGCUCAGGAUGAACGCUGGCGGCGUGCCUAAUACAUGCAAGUCGAGCGAACGGACGAGAAGCUUGCUUCUCUGAUGUUAGCGGCGGACGGGUGAGUAACACGUGGAUAACCUACCUAUAAGACUGGGAUAACUUCGGGAAACCGGAGCUAAUACCGGAUAAUAUUUUGAACCGCAUGGUUCAAAAGUAAAGACGGUCUUGCUGUCACUUAUAGAUGGAUCCGCGCUGCAUUAGCUAGUUGGUAAGGUAACGGCUUACCAAGGCAACGAUGCAUAGCCGACCUGAGAGGGUGAUCGGCCACACUGGAACUGAGACACGGUCCAGACUCCUACGGGAGGCAGCAGUAGGGAAUCUUCCGCAAUGGGCGAAAGCCUGACGGAGCAACGCCGCGUGAGUGAUGAAGGUCUUCGGAUCGUAAAACUCUGUUAUUAGGGAAGAACAUAUGUGUAAGUAACUGUGCACAUCUUGACGGUACCUAAUCAGAAAGCCACGGCUAACUACGUCG